CUGCAGGGCUAAGUAGGGGGCUUGUUAUACUAUAGUCUUCAUUUUAUUGUUAAUAACCU
This is an unclassified non-coding RNA of Capra hircus (goat), 59 nucleotides long. The record is from Ensembl. NCBI's taxonomy places the organism in Eukaryota, Metazoa, Chordata, Mammalia, Artiodactyla, Bovidae.